AGAGUUUGAUUAUGGCUCAGGAUGAACGCUAGCUACAGGCUUAACACAUGCAAGUCGAGGGGCAGCAUGAAACUUAGCUUGCUAAGUUUGAUGGCGACCGGCGCACGGGUGAGUAACACGUAUCCAACCUACCGUUUACUACGGGAUAGCCUUCUGAAAAGGAGAUUAAUACCGUAUGGCAUUCUAAAGUUUCAUGACAUUAGAAUUAAAGGUUUACCGGUAAUCGAUGGGGAUGCGUUCCAUUAGAUAGUAGGCGGGGUAACGGCCCACCUAGUCAGCGAUGGAUAGGGGUUCUGAGAGGAAGGUCCCCCACAUUGGAACUGAGACACGGUCCAAACUCCUACGGGAGGCAGCAGUGAGGAAUAUUGGUCAAUGGACGCGAGUCUGAACCAGCCCAAGUCGCGUGCGGGAAGAAGGCCCUCCGGGUCGUAAACCGCUUUAGCCGGGGAGUAACGUGUGGGACGCGUCCCUCAGUGAGAGUACCCGGAGAAUAAGCAUCGGCUAACUCCGUGCCAGCCGCAGC
RNAcentral lists this ribosomal RNA (523 nucleotides) under uncultured bacterium. RNAcentral's name for it is "bacterial SSU rRNA". It matches the Rfam family "Bacterial small subunit ribosomal RNA", at positions 8 to 518 of the family's 1533-position model. The record is from RNAcentral.